AACGAACGCUGGCGGCAUGCCUAACACAUGCAAGUCGAACGAGACCUUCGGGUCUAGUGGCGCACGGGUGCGUAACGCGUGGGAACCUGCCCUUAGGUUCGGAAUAACUCCCCGAAAGGGGUGCUAAUACCGGAUAAUGUCUUCGGACCAAAGAUUUAUCGCCUUUGGAUGGGCCCGCGUUGGAUUAGCUAGUUGGUAGGGUACAAGCCUACCAAGGCAACGAUCCAUAGCUGGUCUGAGAGGAUGAUCAGCCACACUGGGAAUAAGACACGGCCCAGAACCCUACGGGAGGCAGCAGUGGGGAAUAUUGGACAAUGGGCGAAAGCCUGAUCCAGCAAUGCCGCGGGAGUGAGGAAGGCCUUAGGGUUGUAAAGCUCUUUUACCCGGGAUGAUAAUGACAGUACCGGGAGAAUAAGCUCCGGCUAACUCCGUG
RNAcentral lists this ribosomal RNA (433 nucleotides) under uncultured bacterium. RNAcentral describes it as "partial 16S ribosomal RNA". It matches the Rfam family "Bacterial small subunit ribosomal RNA", at positions 29 to 507 of the family's 1533-position model. The record is from RNAcentral.